This 496-nucleotide ribosomal RNA is filed under the name uncultured bacterium. Its description in RNAcentral is "bacterial SSU rRNA". It matches the Rfam family "Bacterial small subunit ribosomal RNA", at positions 903 to 1397 of the family's 1533-position model. The record is from RNAcentral.
AAAGGAAUAGACGGGGACCCGCACAAGCAGCGGAGCAUGUGGUUUAAUUCGAUGCAACGCGAAGAACCUUACCAGGUCUUGACAUGUAACUGCCGAUGCUAGAGAUAGCAUUUUCUCUUCGGAGACUAUUACACAGGUGGUGCAUGGUUGUCGUCAGCUCGUGUCGUGAGAUGUUGGGUUAAGUCCCGCAACGAGCGCAACCCCUAUAUCUAGUUACCAGCACUUCGGGUGGGGACUCUAGAUAGACUGCCGAUGACAAAUCGGAGGAAGGUGGGGAUGACGUCAAAUCAUCAUGCCCUUUAUGACCUGGGCUACACACGUGCUACAAUGGCCGGUACAACGGGAUGCCACGCAGUGAUGCGGAGCCAAACCAUUUAAAGCCGGCCCCAGUUCGGAUUGUAGGCUGCAACUCGCCUACAUGAAGUCGGAGUUGCUAGUAAUCGCGAAUCAGAAUGUCGCGGUGAAUGCGUUCCCGGGUCUUGUACACACCGCCCGU